RNAcentral lists this ribosomal RNA (492 nucleotides) under uncultured bacterium. RNAcentral's name for it is "partial 16S ribosomal RNA". It matches the Rfam family "Bacterial small subunit ribosomal RNA", at positions 29 to 507 of the family's 1533-position model. The record is from RNAcentral.
AGUGAACGCUGGCGGUAGGCCUAACACAUGCAAGUCGAACGGCAGCACAGUAAGAGCUUGCUCUUACGGGUGGCGAGUGGCGGACGGGUGAGGAAUACAUCGGAAUCUACUUUUUCGUGGGGGAUAACGUAGGGAAACUUACGCUAAUACCGCAUACGACCUACGGGUGAAAGCAGGGGAUCGUCGGACCUUGCGCGGUUGAAUGAGCCGAUGUCGGAUUAGCUAGUUGGCGGGGUAAAGGCCCACCAAGGCGACGAUCCGUAGCUGGUCUGAGAGGAUGGUCAGCCACCCUAGAACUGGGACACGGUCCAGGCUCCUACGGGAGGCAGCAGUGGGGUAUAUUGGACAAUGGGCGCAAGCCUGAUCCAGCCAGCCCGCGUGUGUGAAGAAGGCCUUCGGGUUGUAAAGCCCUUUUGUUGGGAAAGAACAGCAGCAGGCUAAUACCCCGCUGUUCUGACGGUACCCAAAGAAUAAGCACCGGCUAACUUCGUG